UGAAAAUGCAAAAGUUGAAAAUGCAAAAGUUGAAAAUGUAAAAGUUGAAAAUGCAAAAGUUGAAAAUGCAAAAGUUGAAAAUGCAAAAGUUGAAAAUGUAAAAAGUUGAAAAUGCAAAAGUUGAAAAUGCAAAAGUUGAAAAUGCAAAAGUUGAAAAUGUAAAAGUUGAAAAUGCAAAAGUUGAAAAUGUAAAAGUUGAAAAUGCAAAAGUUGAAAAUGCAAAAGUUGAAAAUGUAAAAGUUGAAAAUGUAAAAGUUGAAAAUGUAAAAGUUGAAAAUGUAAAAGUUGAAAAUGUAAAAGUUGAAAAUGUAAAAGUUGAAAAUGUAAAAGUUGAAAAUGUAAAAGUUGAAAAUGCAAAAGUUGAAAAUGCAAAAGUUGAAAAUAUAAAAGUUGAAAAUGUAAAAGUUGAAAAUGUAAAAGUUGAAAAUGUAAAAGUUGAAAAUGUAAAAGUUGAAAAUGCAAAAGUUCAAAAUGUAAAAGUUGAAAAUAUAAAAGUUGAAAAUAUAAAAGUUGAAAAUGUAAAAGUUGAAAAUGUAAAAGUUGAAAAUGUAAAAGUUGAAAAUGUAAAAGUUGAAAAUGUAAAAGUUGAAAAUGUAAAAGUUGAAAAUGUAAAAGUUGAAAAUGCAAAAGUUAAAAUGCAAAAGUUCAAAAUAUAAAAGUUGAAAAUAUAAAAGUUGAAAAUAUAAAAGUUGAAAAUGUAAAAGUUGAAAAUGUAAAAGUUGGAAAUGUAAAAGUUGGAAAUGUAAAAGUUGAAAAUGCAAAAGUUGAAAAUGUAAAGGUUGGAAGUUCGGGAACCACGGAGGCAGCUGGGGGGGGGGGGGGCACAAGAACCACAAUCGUAAAUUCGUGCGUUAUUCAAAUGAGUAGAGAUCGAGAACUGUUUUUGCUAAGCCCAAGUUAGCUCAAAUUUAAAUCCGAAAUUCUUGUCAGAAACGUUAAAGAGUUCGAAAGCCUGUACUUAAAUAAUGAACAAGUUGUCAUGUUGUUUUACGAUGUGUUUUACUCCUUACAGCCAUGCAACGCAUGUAAAUCAGUAUAAUUGUUCCAAUCAUAUUCCGGUUCUUUUCAGUUCGAUGUUUUCAUAUCGGUUUUGAGGCUUUUGCUGUUAUAUGUUAGUAACUCUUCUAAUUCUAUGCAUUUGCAUGGAGACUCUUCACC
Non-coding RNA from Paramuricea clavata, 1158 nucleotides. The record is from the annotation of a GenBank genome assembly. Lineage: Eukaryota; Metazoa; Cnidaria; Anthozoa; Malacalcyonacea; Plexauridae.